This 770-nucleotide long non-coding RNA is filed under the name Nicotiana tabacum (common tobacco). RNAcentral describes it as "long non-coding RNA (NTAB_LNC007776)". The record is from RNAcentral. Lineage: Eukaryota; Viridiplantae; Streptophyta; Magnoliopsida; Solanales; Solanaceae.
UCCGUGCCAGUCAAAAUUGGAACGGUGGAGUAAAUAUUUUCGGACUUGUACACCUUGUUUUUGAAAUUAUAGACACGUUCCAAUUAAAUAAAAUAUGGAAGCUCUUCAACAGAACAAAUUAUUAACUAGUUGAUGACAACAUCUCUCCAUAAAUAAACAAAGAAUCCAGUAAUAAUCAACAACAAAUAGUAGCAGUAAGAAAGAAUCAACAGCGGCCACGACUACGGCCGCCCAUAAAAGUCGUCGGCUCCGGCAAUAUAUAACAAAAAGUAUUUCACAGAUCAGAGAAUUAAAGCAUCAAAGUAGCAGCAAAAAUAGCUACAACAGCAGAUCCAGCGACGGCAACUCUGUUCAAGGAAGCAGAGUUGGGAGAUGAGGUAGGAGAACCGCUGGGAGAGGCACUGAUGGAUGGAGGAGCAGCACCACCGGAAGGAGAUGAUGCCGGAGUAUCGACGGUUGGUGGAGCUGGAGGAGAUGCCAAUGGAGAAGAAGGAGUAGUAGGAGCAUUUGCAGGAGCAGAGACAGGUGUUACUGCAGAUGGAGGAGUCGCCACCGGAGGUGACGAUGCUACCGGUGGUGGAGAACUCUUCGGAGAAGCUGCCGGAGAUGCUCCUGGUGCCUGAGCAAAUGCAGAUCCAACCACCAAAGCCAACAUUAGAGCAACGAUUACCUUUGAGUAUGCCAUUCUAGCCUUUAGACGAGGAGAUUUUUCGAGAAAGAGAAGUGGAAUAAAGCGCAAAAGAGAUAAAAGAGGAAUAUGACUGUUGUUG